CACGUCACCGAAUGAAAGGGGUACGGUAGUAAGUGUAAACAGUAGAAGCCUUUUUUCCUUGCAUUUUUUCCACAUUUAUUAUGGUUUUACACCCAAUAUAGUUGCAAUACCAUUACAUACCCGCACAAUACACCUGCUGCUGCUGCUAAACACAUGGGACGAACACACAGUAGAGACUAUAAAUUAAACGGCCGGGACGGCAGAAGACAGAGGCCGGGAGCACAGAGCUCUGCGUUAUUCUCUCCUCGAUCGUCUAGCGGGGACGGAUGGAUGGCAGCACACAAAGAGGGUAGUAGUAGGACUAGGGCGUAGGACUCGCCUCUCAUCAUCAUCAUCAGCAGGUCACCUUUGCCGGCUGGCUAGGACACAAUUCUUCCAUCGAUCGAGACCACCUGUCCCAACACAAAAGAAAAGGAGAGCCUAUGGUUAGUGCCAGACUAUGCCAGGAGAUCAGUAUGAUACUGACGAUACAUUUGACACAAGCAUACUAAAUGUAUGUAGUGUGCAUGCAUAUUGCAUGCUCCAUUCUUGUACCGUUGUACGUAGUAUUAGUACGUACCUAAAUGCUCCAGAGACUGACAGCAGUGUGGUAUGGUAGGCAUCGGUUUCUAGUAGUAAGGUGGCGGCGGGCUGGGGGUGUGAGACACCGGCGGCGUCGGAGUGUAGGUGGGCGGCUUGGUGGCCGGCGGCUUCGGUGUGGGAGUGUACGUCGGUGGGGUCGGCUUGGGCGUGGGAGGCUUGGUAGCCGGUGGCUUGGGGCUUGGAGUGUACGUCGGUGGGGUCGGCUUGGGUGUCGGAGGCUUGGGGGAAGGCGUGUACGUCGGCGGGGUCGGCUUAGGUGUCGGAGGCUUUGGGGAAGGGGUGUACGUCGGUGGGGUCGGCUUGGGCGUCGGGUGUGUGGGAGGCUUGGGGCUUGGAGUGUACGUCGGCGGGGUCGGCUUGGGCGUCGGAGGCUUGGGGGAAGGGGUGUACGUCGGCGGGGUCGGCUUGGGUGUCGGAGGCUUGGGAGAAGGGGUGUACGUCGGCGGGGUCGGCUUGGGCGUGGGAGGCUUGGUAGCCGGUGGCUUGGGGCUUGGAGUGUACGUAGGCGGGGUCGGCUUAGGUGUCGGAGGUUUGGGGGAAGGGGUGUACGUCGGUGGGGUCGGCUUGGGCGUCGGAGGCUUGGUAGCCGGUGGCUUGGGGCUUGGAGUGUACGUAGGCGGGGUCGGCUUAGGUGUCGGAGGCUUGGGAGAAGGGGUGUACGUCGGCGGGGUCGGCUUGGGCGUGGGAGGCUUGCUAGCCGGUGGCUUGGGGCUUGGAGUGUACGUCGGCGGGGUCGGCUUAGGUGUCGGAGGUUUGGGGGAAGGGGUGUACGUCGGAGGAGUGGGAGUGGGUUUGUGGGGCGUAGGGGCGGGAGUGUAUGUGGGUGGCGUCGGCUUGGGGGGCGUCGGGGUGGGAGUGUACGUCGGCGGCGUGGGUUUGGGGCUCGGGGUGUACGUGGGCGGCGUCGGCUUGUGCUCCUUGGGCGGCUUCUCCGGCUUGGGCCCGUGCUCCUUGGGCGGCUUGUGCUCCUUUGGCGGCUUCUCCGGCUUGGGCCCCUUGGUGGGGGGCUUCUCCGGCUUCGGGGUCGGGGUGGCCGGCGUCGGCGUCGGGGUGUACCCGUACCCGGCGUCGGCCUGGAUCUCCACGGCCAGGCUCACGGCCACCAGGGCCAGCAGCAGAGCAGCCCUGCCGCUGCCACCCAUCAUCCUCUCUCUCUCACACACUCUCAGUAACUGCAAGCUCUUCUGGUUGGCUCUAGCUGGCCAAUGGCGCAGUGGUGGUCUGAGGAGAGACGCUCACCCUGCCACUGCUUAUAUACACGGAGGAAGGGGUGGGGUGGGGGCCUCGGAUGCCCUCUGGGCUCUCGUGACGCCCUUCGACGGAGAGGAGGAGGAGAGAGAGAGGGCACUGCGGCGAGAGAGAGGCAUUCAGGCAAGCCAUGUGGGGGCAGCACGGGAGGCUUCCCCGAUGGUCACUCGCUUCGCUUGCAUUGGGGUUCACCGGCACCGCUCACUGGUCCAGCACGGGCCAGUCUGAACCUGCAUGUUGACGAAUGGAAUGGAUAGAGCCGGGCGGGCACUUGGUGGAGCAGGUGGAUUUACAUCGUUUGCAUCUACAAGUAGUUCCCACAAUACUCACGUUAUUGUGUGCAUUCACUCCGCCUUGCACUGAAGUAGCAGAGAGUGAGACCUGUACACAAGAAGAGCCGCCAUGUGCUGCUCGCCGAGAUCAAACGACGUGGAUCGAUCAAGCUGAACGGCAGAUCAGAUAACGAUCCGCUGGGAAAGAUAAUACUACUACCUUCGCCUAUGAAUAAAUUAGAUUUAUAGAGUUAUUAUGGCAUGUACAACAUCAUUUAAUAUGAACUCUCUCGAGAGAUCUACCUUCUCGGCUAGAUUCGUCGUCUCUUUGACCGGAUCGCCGUCUGGAUCCGUCAAUGUCGAGGCCUUUCUGGUCGGAUCCAUCGUUACCCCUUCUAUUACGCCACAGGCGCGGCUAACAUUACUGGUGCAGACGUGUGCGCUGCCGCCGGCCUCUGAAUAAAUUAGAUUUAUAAAGUUAUCGAUCAAGCUGAACGGCAGAUCAGAUAACUAUCCGUUGGGAAAGAUAAUACUACUACCUUGCCUCUGAAUAAAUUAGAUUUAUAAAGUUAUUAGGGCAUGUACAACCUCAUUUAAUAUAGAGUCUACCUUCCCAGCUAGAUCCGUCGUCUAUUUAACCGGAUCGCCGUCUUGCCGGUUGGAUCCGUCGAUGUCGUGGCCUUCCUGGCCGGAUCCAUCAUUACCCCUUCUAUUCCAUCGCGAGCGCGGCCACCAUAACGGUGCAGACGCGUGCGCUGCCGCGGGGCUCCUCGACGUCCAGACGAUCGAAGAAGCAAGAAGGUCACCCUGGUGCUAAUUUUUAUGUCGCCCAGCCGAUCGUUGACGCUUGAACAUCGACCCCUACCAAAGAAUAGGCUACUGCUGCGUGUCUCCCGACCACGACCACCUCGACUUCGGCUAUCUCGGCAUCCAGGGGCUAUCAUUUCCUCGAAGUCCACACAUCGGCAACAUUCACACCCUCAUCACGCUACGAUUGCAGGGGUAUCAACUCGUCGGCUUCUACCUUCGGCUUCUACUACAGUCUCAUCGUGUGUGGUGCCCCCGUUGCGACUGCUGAAGGAUGUUAGACUGUAUGUGGAGGGGCGGGCACCACUGUUGGGCUACCGACCCAUUAGGAUUAGGGCUAUGCAAUAUAAUAAAUCAAUCGCUUCACAGUCCAACAUUAUCCUGUUAACUUUGAGAUUCAGAUUUAUUUUUUUAACGGUGGAAUUGUUCCAAAGUUGCCUUUUUUUCAAAUGUUUUUUUCUUUUUUUUCAUUAUGAUGGCAUGCAUAAGGGGAAAGUGGAACAAUGUGUUCGACCUGAGAUACAAGCAGUGAAUUAAUGAAUCGAGAGAUCUGGUUGGAUCUGAACAAGACACUUGCCUUUAGGAAUAGUAGUAGAUCACCAGAGCGCUUAAGAACGAGGGCCCAGCUAAUUAGAUGCAUUGCUACGCUUGUGUGCAUUUCGGCUCUUGAUUUUUUACCUUUACCCAGAGCAUUUCACCGUGUUCUGCAACAUGAGAAAAGCUGCAGAAAUUUUGGGGGUACUGCAGCACUGACACCCACCCACUCAUUCUGCAAGGAGCUGAUGUAAAAAGGGCUUAAGGCCAGGGACGAACGAACACAAGUAUACGCGGUUGCGCAGAAAGGAAAUGGGGGAGGACGUUGCCCCCCACAAGGCCACAAGUGGCUGACGACGAGGGGCAUGUGCGUUCAUCUGAGCAAAGGCAUUUUUGGGUCGUCGCUGAAAACUGAAAAAGGCUGGGACGCUUGUCUUCUUUCUUCCCUCCUCCGGUCCAUCCGUCCGCCCGCCCGCUGAACCGAACGUCCAAGCCAAACCGCAGGAAAACAGGCGAGACCGAUCACCAUUUCCGCGGAAAUCGAGAUCGAGAUGCUCCUCCUCUUCCUCCAGUCCUCCUGAUGUCCAGCUCGUCUUUAUUGGCGUGGCCACACUGGGCACGCGCAAACACCGCCCGGGAAAACGCCCGGCCGGCUGGCAGCCAGCGCUAGCUGGAAUUUGUUUGGCGGACACACACCGGCCAUCAGUAAGUACUUCCAGAACCAAAAUAUCCGCGGGUGAACUGCGUCGUCCUGUCGGUGGGAAUCGUCGUAUUAGCGAGCAUUCUUAUCAAGCCCUUGGUAUUAGUGCAGCAAAGGAGAAUAUUACCUUAUCAAGCCUCCACUGCAUUUUUGUUGGAUUUUGUGUAGUAAUUGGAUCCUUAUUAUCCCUAGCAAACCAAACACGACCUUAAUUUACUUCUCUUGCACCUCCGAUCCACCACACACAUAAAAAUUGUUGGAAAAAUUAACAGCGCCUAAGAUUUAUUUGAUAAUGCAGCAUAAAACGUAAAACCAAGAUAUACUUGCAGAUAAUAUCCAUGACAUUAGAAUAGAACAGAUCUAAACUAAUUCAACAAGAUUAACACAUAAAUAAAAGAAUCUAUAACGGAUCUAACCAUAAGACUGUCAUUGCAAUAAACCAAAAAUACAAAUUUACUUACUGUGACUUCCAUGAGUGAUGGUGACGAUCCUGAGCGGACUUGCGCAAAGCACUUCCCAGAAACCUGAUUCGUCGGCACCCGUGCAGGUCGUUAAAACGUCGGUGUUGGUUCGGAGACACCGCUCUCCCUUGAUCUGCGGCACGACAGACGAAGGGACGUCAGGGCAGAGAAGCGACGACGUAAAGAGAGGAGAAGAAGAGGACAAGUCGGUUGCUAUUCGCGUCUGUCCUCUGACUGAAUGACGUCUGCCUUUUAUAGAGUGGUUGUCACAACCUCCUUGAUUCGAUUUGCUAAAUCUAGAAACCGCCCCAUAGAAUCUCUCUACGUGCAACCGCCCGAAGAUAUCGCAUGCAUGUAACGUGCACGACUAUUACUCCUGGUCGACGUGGCAGCCUAGGUGUUGUAUUUGAUAACAAAAUAAACAAAAAGCAAAAAAUAAACUAUUGUUUAUAACAUGUCACGACGCGACCGCGCACAAGUCACAAGUCCCGCGAUAGCUAAUAGGAAUAAACACAAAACGCGAGCGAGCGAGCACGUGUGGCAACCUACAUAGCCCUUUAUUGGUCUCGUGUGAAGUGUAUGAAACACUUCCACAUAUAAGUUGGUUCUCUCCUAUCAAGAUGAGCAAUAUAGAACUAAAGGCUUAUGUCAUCUAUACACACCACCUUGUCUUCUUUAUUGAAUUGGGGGUCACACACUAGCGGACCUAAUUCCAACAAAAGUAUCCUACUUUGAAAAUUAUGUGAGGAUUUUCGUAGAAACAGCGAGUAGUUUAGAAACUCCUUUUGUACAAGGGUUUUCAUUUUCCUAAUGGAAAUUAGUUUAUUUUUACUUGGAAAAAUAGUGAUCUAGGGGAAAAUGAAGUUUUUCCAAACUAGCGUCCGAGUAAAAGUUUUUAAGCUCAGAAGUAGAUACGUACAUGCCACUUGCCAACCAGGCUAACUCACCUUAAGUAAGUUUCACCUAUAUAUACACCAUGCACCUAGCUAGCUUGCUACUAGCGCUCUUAAAUCAUGGUCCGCUGCGUCGCUGUUUACGUUGCAUUAGGCCGAGGGCACGUGCUAGCUAGGGUUCUGGAUCUGUAGCUACAAGCCUGCAAAAAUCUAGUUUAAGUGUAUGCACGAAUGAUUGUGCAGUAAAAAAAAAAUUAACCCACCUACUGGCAUAGUGGCAUCUGGCAUGGGCAUGUAAUAAAAUUCUCUCAUUCGGGCGCCAGAUGAGAUUCUCACGUACUUCCAGAAAAAGUUCGCGAGAGGCAACAUUAUUUCUCUCUACUUUAUUUAAACACCGUGGAUGAAAAAGGUAAGUAAGCUUGGUAAAAGCCGGAAAAGCAUGACGUAUUUUAAGUUUUUCGAGCAAAGUUAUUAUUAGGCGCCGCGCGCGCGUAGUCCCCCCCAGUCGUAGGUCUAGCACUAGCAGACUACUAGUAGCAUGCAUGGUCGUCUCGCUCAUGGAUCGAUGCGUAUAUGCAAUAGAUGGCCCAAUGCAUGCACGGUGGAUGAUCCAUCGAUGCUGCCUGCAUGCCCCCGCCAUGUGUAGUAGAGUGGUUCCGUGCAUUGGAACCAGAUGAUGACUGGCGAUAGGGUUAGGCGGGCGGGAGCGCCCCCUCAAGCAAAGCAUGAGCGCAGCGCCAUGCCAUGAUUCAGCCUGGUUUCUAGGAGCUAAGCUACGCAUACCAAUCAUGCAACAUAUAUAGAUUAAUGUCAAUACUAAAGUAUUGAAACAAAGACUUUUUUCGUGUCUCGGAACUCUGUAUAGAUCAUAUUAUUGUAUAUAUAUAUAUAUAUAUAUAUAUAUAUAUAUAUAUAUAUAUAUAUAUAUAUAUAUAUAUAUAUAUAUAUAUAUAUAUAUAUAUAUAUAUAUAUAUAUAUAUAUAUAUAUAUAUAUAUAUAUAUAGUCCCGCAAGCAGGCAUGGGGGAUGUCAGACGACUUUUGGUAUUGGCGAACCAGAUAGGUACGUAGUACCAAAUAAAAUUGGAGUGGCAUGUUCAUUAUACUACAGGAGUCAACACAGCACACGAUGCCACGGGGAUGAUGCAUGCGAUGCGCCCAUGACGACAGGGUGUCUGUAACUGUAACGUGCAAAAAAAAUGUAACCCGUACCAGAUGUAAAAGCGGGAGUUACUCUACGGCUCGAUUUGGUGACAAGGAGAUCACCGGAAAUUGAAGGGGAUUCAGGAAAAAUGAACUAAUUUCUCCCUUAGUCCCCUCUAAUUCUUCUGUGAUCUUUAAUCACUAAAUCAGGUCUAGUAGCAGUACUUUUACACCUGUCGACAUUUUCUCCUCCUGAUUCCUGAGCGACGACGCACCACGAAUCCCAGCAGGUACUGGGGAAAAAAAACGAAGGGGGAUUUUCAGUCGAGCCGUGCCAUGGCCGUUCGGUUCCUGUGUCAGGCUUUGUUGGACCUCAAAGGCCCAGAACGGACAAGUUUCUCGACGGACGGCUUUUGGUCCUGAAGCCCACACCAUUAGACGGACUGGCUGGCUGUAUUUGCUGGGCCAGCCCGGAGGACGAGUACGGCGAAUCGGUAUGCUGUUUGGAGUCGAGUCACGGACGAUUAUGGGAUUAGAGCCCAUGAGCUAGUACUCCCAAUUAGGUUUGCAAGCUGCACCUUGGAAAAAAUAUUACAUUAUACUACAUCCGUUCACAAAUAUAUCACACCGUCGAUUUUUUUGAAAACUUUGCCCAUUACUCUUACUAAGAAGUUAAGUAGGGCGUCCACACCUCAUCUGCCCCUGCCCUCGCCACCGACCCCGUCCUCUCCCACGCGCGCGCCUGUAACUAGUUUCCUAGCCCGCGUCGUGCCCCUACCCCACCGACGUUUAUGGAAGGUGCCAUUCCACGGUUCUUCGUGGCCGCCCCUAAGGAUGUAAAUGGUCGGUAAAAUCCGGUAAAUUUCCGGUACCGUUUACCAGAUUUUUCCAGCCGUUUUCGGAUUUAUCGGGAUAUACAGAAAACGAGACGGAAACGGAAUAGGUUUUUUUUCGAAAACGGUACGGUAAACGGUGAGACAAACUUACCGUCCGUUUUCGUAUUUCUCGGGAAACUCUGGUAUAUUCCCGUAUUUGUCCCGUAUUUUCCCGACCCACGGACCUGCCAAUCAACCAUCAGCCAGUCAGCCCAUCCCCACAGCUAUGGCCCAUGGGGCCAUGUUGGCCACAUGCCCACGCAACGCAAGGCAGUAAGGCUGGCAGCCUGGCACGCAUUGACGCAUGUGGACACACACAGCCGCCGCCUGUUCGUGUUUCUGUGCCGUUGUGCGAGACUGUGACUGCGAGUGGCGGAGUCGGCGAACGGCGAGGCGUCUCCGGAGUCUGGACUGCGGCUGUGGACAGCGACGCUGUGACGGCGACUCGGCGAAGCCCCAAGCUACCAAGCCCCCAAGUCCCCAUCCAUCUCUGCUUCUCUGGUCAUCUCCUUCCCCUGGUCGAUCUGCAGGCGCCAGACCGGCCGAAGCAUCACGAAACGCACUAAGACCUCGAAGGAGUCAAACCACUCCUCCGAGGCCUCGGGGGCUACACCCGGCGGGUGCGCUCGCGCGCACCCACCGGAACAAAAUGUAACCGAGAAAGGUCGGUCCCCUUGCAAAAAAAGUGCGACAAAAGCCUCCAAGCGAGUAUUAACACUCACUUUGAGGCUCGGGGGCUACUGUCGGGGACCAUAAUUAGGGGUACCCCCAAGACUCCUAAUCUCAGCUGGUAACCCCCAUCAGCACAAAGCUGCAAAGGCCUGAUGGGUGCGAUUAAGUCAAGGCUCGGUCCACUCAAGGGACACGAUCUCGCCUCGCCCGAGCCCAGCCUCGGGCAAGGGCGGCCGACCCCGAGGAUUCACGUCUCGCCCGAGGGCCCCCUCAAGCGACGGGCACACCUUCGGCUCGCCCGAGGCCCAUUCUUCGCCGAGAAGCAACCUUGGCCAGAUCGCCACACCGACCGACCGUAUCGCAGGAGCAUUUAAUGCGAGGAUCGCCUGACACCUUAUCCUGACGCGCGCUCUUCAGUCGACAGAGCCGAAGUGACCGCAAUCACUUCGCCGCUCCACUGACCGACCUGACAAGAAGACAGCGCCGCCUGCGUCGCUCCGACUGCUGUGCCACUCGACAGAGUGAGGCUGACAGCAGCCAAGUCCGGCCUCGGGCGCCAUAGGAAGCUCCGCCUCGCCCGACCCUAGGGCUCGGACUCGGCCUCGGCUCCGGAAGACGACGAACUACGCCUCGCCCGACCCCAGGGCUUGGACUCAGCCUCGGCUCCGGAAGACGACGAAUUCCGCCUCGCCCGACCCCAGGGCUCGGACUCGGCCUCGGCUCCAGAAGACGACGAACUCCGCCUCGCCCGACCCCAGGGCUCGGACUCAGCCUCGGCUCCGGAAGACGACGAACUCCGCCUCGCCCGACCCCAGGGCUCGGACUCAGCCUCGGCCUCAGACGAUGGUCUCCGCCUCGCCCGACCCGGGGCUCGGACUCGACCUCGAUCUCAGAAGACAGACUCGACCUCAACCUUGGAGGAGCCUCUGCCUCGCCCGACCUAGGGCUCGGACUGACCACGUCACAGGGGGGCCAUCAUUACCCUACCCCUAGCUAGCUCAGGCUACGGAGAAUAAGACCGGCGUCCCAUCUGGCUCGCCCCGACAAACAAAUAAUGAUGGCGCCCUGCGUGCUCCAUGACGACGGCGGCUCUCAGCCCCUUACGGAAGCAAGGAGACGUCAGCAAAGACUCGACAGCCCCGACAGCUGUCCUUCCGCAAGGCUCCAGCGCUCCUCCGACGGCCACGACAUCACAUGAACAGGGUGCCAAAAACCUCUCCGGCUGCCACGACGGCAUGUACUUAGGGCACUAGCUCCUCUCUGCUAGAGACGUUAGCACACUGCUACAUCUCCUAUUGUAUACCUGGACCCCCUCCUUACGCCUAUAAAAGGAAGGUCCAGGGCUCUCUUACGGGAAGGUUGGCCGCGCGGGGGAACCGGACGGCGCGCAUAAGCCUCUCGCUCUCUCCCACGCGGACGCUUGUAACCCCCUACUACAAGCGCACCCGACCUGGGCGCAGGGCAACACGAAGGCCGCGGGUUUCCCCUUUCGCCUGCCUCCCUUUCUUCCCCCCUUCGUGCUCCGUCUCACGCCGACCCAUCUGGGCUGGGACACGCGGCGACGAUUUACUCGUCGGUCCAGGGACCCCCCGGGGUCGAAACGCCGACAGUUGGCGUGCCAGGUAGGGGCCUGCUGCGUGUUGACGAACAACUUCCCGUCAAGCUCCAGAUGGGUAGUCUCCAGCAACCUUUCCAGCCCGGGACGGUGCUCCGUUUCGGGAGUCUCGAGUUCAUAUCCCUCGACGGCAGCUACGACAUGAUACUCCUUCCUCCGCCGCGCGACAGCGACAAUGGCGGCCGACAACCCGCCCGCCGGCGGCGGAAUCAACGACGUCUUCCCCACAUGGCGGAAGAACAACAUCCGGAUUUGUCCCGUCGCCUCCCCCGCCGACGGAGGAGGAGGCGGGGCAACCAAGGCCAAGCAGGAGGCGGCACCUCGUCAGCUGUCGAGCGAGUCGACGGCGCCGGCACCCCAACGGGGGACACGUCGGGCGUCGACCUCGCGUCUGAGACAAAGACGAGCGCCGUUUCCCCGCAACACGCCAACUCCAAGCGGACGGACGACGCCAACACGCUCGCAAAGGACUUACUGGGCGUCACCCUCGUACCCGAGACGACGGUGCAGUCUGCCCCUGACGCGACUUCGUCACCGCCCGUCGACCAGGAGGUACCGACCGAUUCCCAUCUCGUGCCUUUUGGAUUCAGCCUCGACCCACCAAGCGACUUCGCUUCGGUGGAAGCCUUCAUAGAGGCAUGUCCAAACCCUCCGGGGUAUCAUAUGCGGUCACCCUGGGACCGACUGAUGGCCGUCUCGACCUACGGACCCUUGGGUUUCGAGGAAGAUGACGAGCCUGACCUUUGUUGGGAUUUCUCCGGACUCGGUAACCCCAGUGCCAUGCGGGACUUCAUGACCGCAUGCGGCUAUUGCCUUUCCGGUUGUUCCGACGGUAGCCGCAGCUUCGGCGACGAGGACUGCGGCCCAAGUCGUGAAUGUUUCCACGUCGAUCUAGGGGGUCCCGGCGAAGGCAACCAUCUUGGUAUACCAGAAAACGGUGAUCCCCCCAGGCCCGCGCCUCGCGUUGACAUCCUUCGGGAGCUAGCUGUGGCCCCAGUCCCUGCAGGGGGUCAGGACUCACAGCUCGAGCAAAUCCGCGAGGGGUAGGCUAGGCUCGACGAGGGAGUAGGAACACUUGAGCAGUUCCGGCGGAACACCGGGCAGGAAUGGGCAGACCGAGCUCCGCCCGGAGAAGCGCGUCAUCUGCCCCAGGGCAUCCAGCUUCGCAUUGCCGACGACGUCAGGGCAAGGCCGCCACCGACUUCUAGUGGGGUCGGCUAGAACCUGGCUGCGGCAGCAAUACUACUCCGCACGAUGCCGGAACCAUCGACCACCGAAGGGCGGUGUAUCCAGGGAGAGCUCAAGAAUCUCCUAGAGGAUGCCGCGGUCCGACGGGCCGAAAGCUCUGCCUCCCGAAGACAGGGAUACCCCUCGGAGCAUCGCGCCGCGACUUCCCGAUUCAUGCGGGAAGCCUCGGUCCACACCGGGCGCACGCGAAACACAGCGCCUGCGGCCCCGGGUCGCCUCGGCAAUGAGCACCACCACCGCAACCGUCGAACCCACCUCGACGAUAGGGUGCACCGAGGCUACCACCCCAGGCGUGGGGACGCUAUGACAGCGGGGAGGAUCGGAGUCCCUCGCCCGAACCACCCGGUCCGUAGGCUUUCAGCCGGGCCAUACGAUGGGCGCCGUUCCCGACCCGGUUCCGAACCCCGACUACUAUCACAAAGUACUCGGGGGAGACGAGGCCGAAACUGUGGCUCGCGGACUACCGGCUGGCCUGCCAAUUGGGUGGCACGGACGAUGACAACCUCAUCAUCCGCAACCUCCCCCUGUUCCUCUCCGACACCGCUCGAGCCUGGCUGGAGCACCUGCCUCUGGGGCAGAUAUCCAACUGGGACGACCUGGUUCAAGCCUUCGCCGGCAACUUCCAGGGCACGUACGUGCGCCCUGGGAACUCCUGGGAUCUCCGCAGCUACCGCCAGCAGCCGGGAGAGUCUCUCCGGGACUACAUCCGACGAUUCUCGAAGCAGCGCACCGAGCUGCCCAAUGUUACCGACUCAGAUGUCAUCGGCGCGUUCCUCGCCAGCACCACCUACUGCGACCUGGUGAGAAAGCUGGGUCGUAAGACCCCCACCAGGGCGAGCGAGCUGAUGGACAUUGCCACCAAGUUCGCCUCUGGCCAGGAGGCGGUUGAGGCCAUCUUCCGGAAGGACAAGCAGCCCUAGGGCCGCCCGCCGGAAGAUGUCCCCAAGGCAUCCACUCAGCGCGGCACCAAGAAGAAAGGCAAGAAGUCGCAAGCGAAACGCGACGCCGCCGACGCGGACCUUGUCGCCGCCGCUGAGUACAAGAACCCUCGGAAACCUCCCGGAGGUGCCAAUCUCUUCGACAAAAUGCUCAAGGAGCCGUGCCCCUAUCAUCAGGGGCCCGUCAAGCACACCCUCGAGGAGUGCGUCAUGCUUCGGCGCCACUUUCACAAGGCCGAGCCACCUGUGGAAGGUAGCAGGGCCCACAACAACGACAAGAAGGAGGAUCACAAGGCAGAGGAGUUCCACGAGGUCCACGACUGCUUUAUGAUCUACGGUGGGCCAGUGGCGAACGGCUCGGCUCGGCACCGCAAGCAAGAGCGUCGGAGAGGUCUGCUCGGUAAAGGUGGCGGCCCC
This 12403-nucleotide long non-coding RNA is filed under the name Zea mays. RNAcentral's name for it is "long non-coding RNA (ZMAY_LNC000824)". The record is from RNAcentral. Lineage: Eukaryota; Viridiplantae; Streptophyta; Magnoliopsida; Poales; Poaceae.